RNAcentral lists this long non-coding RNA (1231 nucleotides) under Brassica rapa (field mustard). Its description in RNAcentral is "long non-coding RNA (BRAP_LNC006273)". Lineage: Eukaryota; Viridiplantae; Streptophyta; Magnoliopsida; Brassicales; Brassicaceae. The record is from RNAcentral.
AAAAUAUACAUAAUUUAUAUAUAUAGAUUAAUCUUCCAAACUUAAACUAUUAUAUUAUAUAUGAAUAAUGUUUUUAAAUAAAAAUAAUUUCUGAUUUAAAAAAAAAAUAAAAAACAACAAAUGGUUAUUUUCGAAUAAUGGAUAUAAUUUACAUUAUACUAUCAUUUACCAAGUAUUAGAUACGUUUUGAUAUAUCAUUAUUUUCUAUUUCCAGAAAACAAUAAAUUGUUAAACAUCAAUAUCAUCUAGGUUAAGUAUACGGACAACACAAAUUCAAACAUCACAAAAAAUAUUUACAUAAACAUUAUAAUACAAUAAUUUAAUCAAAAAAUACAAUUAAAAAAGAAUAGUUAUAUACUUAAUAUCUGAAAAUCAAAGAUAUUUUUGCUAAAAUUGUACUUACCUGGCCAAGGAGAUCGACCAUCUUUUUACGGAUCGAUUGAUUGUUGAGCAUGUGGUCGAUCCGAAAAUACUUAACAGUUUAAUUUAAUAUCUAAAACGUUUUUGUUAACACUCAACAUAUAGUUUUGCUAAAUAUGAUAACUAGAUAGCCAACAAAAUUACAAAAAAUAUUUAAAUAGUAAAAAAUAUGUUAAUUUAACGUGUUAAAAUUUAAAAAUAAAUUUUAAUUAUGACAUGCAUCUUAACAUUUAUAUAAAUAUAUAUCAUAACCUAAAUAUAAAUAAUUUAACAUCUUAAAUUAGAAAAAAAAUAAAAACGCCCGGGCGUAGCCCGGGUUAAUCCCUAGUUAUAUCCAAAUAAUAGUAGUUUAGUGGUAAGGGCUGAGGAUAAAGGGGAAACAAAAUUGAUACUAUUUGGAUAGACAAUAAUGAAGCUACGCUUUCAAUUUCCUUUGAAAAAAAAAAAAAAAAAUUCCUUUGAAAGCAUAGAGCUUGGUCGUUGAUAUUGUUUUUUUUAGAAAGUAGUUGGACCUCGGUUUAAAUACCCUAAAACAUAUAGAUUAUUAGAUUUUUGAGAAAUUAUAAUUGAAGUAAGGUAAAAGAGUAACAUGUUAUUUAAAAAAUAUUUUGGUGGAAUACUCGUGGGCAUGCUAAACAACCGUAACUCUUUUUUUCCGUACUUUGGUCUUGGAUAUCUUCGCAUGAACUUCUGUACCAAAUAUUUUCUAUCGGCUGACACAUUUAGAAUGUUACAGAAUGGACUGGUUCAAAUUGUAUGAUCCGAGUAUAAAAUGCUUUCCAACUAAUAUCAGAAAAUAGACUGAUAAUCU